GGUUUCUACCAGUCUAGGGGCAGGGAGAUGCCAGGCCACAGUAAAGGAUCCAUGGGGGACCUGAGUGGACCGGGAAGAAUUUUUUUUUUUUUGGUCUCUUCCUUCUGUCUAGCACAGCCACCCACUCAUUCAUUCUUCAGCAUCCCAGGCAGGAGGGCGCGCCAUUUACAUCUGGGGAAACAGAGGCUUAGAGAGUCACAGAUGUGCGGUCAGAGAAAGGCAGACCGUGCGCACUCACACUUGGCCUCAAUGGUUCUGGGCCGCAUGCUCGCUGCAGCAUGCAAGGGAAAACUGUCUCCUCACAUUAGCUGGGCGGGGCCUCCCCGGCGUCUUGCGUCUUGCGUGGGCCGGAGGCUGCCAGCACUGAGGUGGGCUGUGUUUAUUCCUAUGAAGGGAAAGGUCAUUAGUCCUCAUACUCUGGAAGAUUUUCUCCCUGAGUCAAUACAAAGACCCGCAUGG
This 459-nucleotide long non-coding RNA is filed under the name Rattus norvegicus (Norway rat). RNAcentral describes it as "long non-coding RNA NONRATT004865". The record is from RNAcentral. Lineage: Eukaryota; Metazoa; Chordata; Mammalia; Rodentia; Muridae.